Molecule: microRNA precursor, 74 nt
Filed under: Bombyx mori (domestic silkworm)
Lineage: Eukaryota; Metazoa; Arthropoda; Insecta; Lepidoptera; Bombycidae
Description: mir-2807 microRNA precursor family
Rfam family: mir-2807 microRNA precursor family
Source: Rfam by way of RNAcentral
UUAGCUCAAAUUUGUAUAGAGUUGGAACGUUUGCCGCUAGGGGCGCUGUUCCAACUCCAUACAAAUUUGAGUUA